Molecule: non-coding RNA, 29 nt
Filed under: Rattus norvegicus (Norway rat)
Lineage: Eukaryota; Metazoa; Chordata; Mammalia; Rodentia; Muridae
Source: RNAcentral
UGACACUGAGGGAAUGAAUACACAUGGCU